RNAcentral lists this ribosomal RNA (399 nucleotides) under uncultured archaeon. RNAcentral's name for it is "bacterial SSU rRNA". It matches the Rfam family "Archaeal small subunit ribosomal RNA", at positions 854 to 1252 of the family's 1478-position model. The record is from RNAcentral.
ACUUAUAGGAAUUGGCGGGGGAGCACCACAACGGGUGGAGCCUGCGGUUUAAUCGGACUCAACGCCGGGAAACUCACCGGACAAGACAGCUGGAUGAUAGUCGGGCUGAAGACUCUACUUGACUAGCUGAGAGGAGGUGCAUGGCCGUCGUCAGUUCGUACUGUGAAGCAUCCUGUUAAGUCAGGCAACGAGCGAGACCCACGCCAACAGUUGCCAGCAUGUUCUCCGGAAUGAUGGGGACACUGUUGGGACCGCCUCUGCUAAAGAGGAGGAAGGAAUGGGCAACGGUAGGUCAGCAUGCCCCGAAUUGUCCGGGCUACACGCGGGCUACAAUGGACGGGACAAUGGGUUUCGACACCGAAAGGUGAAGGCAAUCUCCUAAACCCGCCCUUAGUUCGG